AAGCCGUUAAGUUUGCCGCCUGGGGAGUACGGUCGCAAGACUAAACUUAAAGGAAUUGGCGGGGGAGCACCACAAGGGGUGAAGCCUGCGGUUCAAUUGGAGUCAACGCCGGAAAUCUUACCGGGGGCGACAGCAGAGUGAAGGUCAAGCUGAAGACUUUACCAGACAAGCUGAGAGGAGGUGCAUGGCCGUCGCCAGCUCGUGCCGUGAGGUGUCCUGUUAAGUCAGGUAACGAGCGAGAUCCCUGCCUCUAGUUGCUACCAUUAUUCUCAGGAGUAGUGGAGCUAAUUAGAGGGACCGCCGUCGCUGAGACGGAGGAAGGUGGGGGCUACGGCAGGUCAGUAUGCCCCGAAACCCUCGGGCCACACGCGGGCUGCAAUGGUAAGGACAAUGAGUUUCGAUUCCGAAAGGAGGAGGCAAUCUCUAAACCUUACCACAGUUAUGAUUGAGGGCUGAAACUCGCCCUCAUGAAUAUGGAAUCCCUAGUAACCGCGUGUCACUAUCGCGCGGUGAAUACGUCCCUGCUCCUUGCACACACCGCCCGUAAU
RNAcentral lists this ribosomal RNA (548 nucleotides) under uncultured archaeon. Its description in RNAcentral is "bacterial SSU rRNA". It matches the Rfam family "Archaeal small subunit ribosomal RNA", at positions 809 to 1356 of the family's 1478-position model. The record is from RNAcentral.